RNAcentral lists this ribosomal RNA (392 nucleotides) under uncultured bacterium. RNAcentral describes it as "partial 16S ribosomal RNA". It matches the Rfam family "Bacterial small subunit ribosomal RNA", at positions 523 to 918 of the family's 1533-position model. The record is from RNAcentral.
AUACGGAGGAUCCGAGCGUUAUCCGGAUUUAUUGGGUUUAAAGGGUGCGCAGGCGGCCAUUUAAGUCAGCGGUUAAAUCGUGGGGCUCAACCCCAUUCUGCCGUUGAUACUGGGUGGCUUGAUUGCGGUCGAGGUUGGCGGAAUUCGUUGUGUAGCGGUGAAAUGCAUAGAUAUGACGAAGAACACCGAUUGCGUAGGCAGCUGACCAGACCGCAAAUGACGCUCAUGCACGAAAGUGCGGGGAUCGAACAGGAUUAGAUACCCUGGUAGUCCGAACAGUAAACGAUGAAUACUUGUUUUCGGCGAUAUAAUGUCGGAGGCAAAGCGAAAGCGAUAAGUAUUCCACCUGGGGAGUACGCCGGCAACGGUGAAACUCAAAGGAAUUGACGGGG